UACGUAGGGAGCAAGCGUUGUCCGGAAUUACUGGGCGUAAAGGGCGCGUAGGUGGGUAUUUAAGUCAGAUGUGAAAACUAUGGGCUCAACCCGUAGACUGCAUUUGAAACUGGGUAUCUUGAGGGCAGGAGAGGAAAGUGGAAUUCCUAGUGUAGCGGUGAAAUGCGUAGAUAUUAGGAGGAACACCAGUGGCGAAGGCGACUUUCUGGACUGUACCUGACACUGAGGCG
This 230-nucleotide ribosomal RNA is filed under the name uncultured microorganism. RNAcentral's name for it is "partial 16S ribosomal RNA". It matches the Rfam family "Bacterial small subunit ribosomal RNA", at positions 524 to 753 of the family's 1533-position model. The record is from RNAcentral.